CUACGGGGUGCUGCAGUGAGGAAUAUUGCACAAUGGGGGGAACCCUGAUGCAGCAACGCCGCGUGGAGGAUGACGCAUUUCGGUGUGUAAACUCCUUUUAUAUGUCAAGAAAAUGACGGUAGCAUAUGAAUAAGCACCGGCUAACUCCGUGCCAGCAGCCGCGGUAAUACGGAGGGUGCAAGCGUUACUCGGAAUCACUGGGCGUAAAGGACGCGUAGGCGGGUUGGAAAGUCAGGCGUGAAAUCCUACAGCUUAACUGUAGAACUGCACUUGAAACUUCUAAUCUAGAGUAUGGGAGGGGGAGAUGGAAUUAGUGGUGUAGGGGUAAAAUCCGUAGAUAUCACUAGGAAUACCUAAAGCGAAGGCGACCUCCUGGAACAUUACUGACGCUAAGGCGUGAAAGCGUGGGGAGCAAACAGGAUUAGAUACCCUCGUAGUC
RNAcentral lists this ribosomal RNA (439 nucleotides) under uncultured bacterium. Its description in RNAcentral is "partial 16S ribosomal RNA". It matches the Rfam family "Bacterial small subunit ribosomal RNA", at positions 339 to 795 of the family's 1533-position model. The record is from RNAcentral.